CUGUGCAAAGGUAGCAUAAUCAUUAGUUUUUUAAUUGAAGGCUUGUAUGAAGGGUCUGACAAAGAAAAAGCUGUCUUUAGUUUUAUUUUUGAAUUUAACUUUUAAGUGAAAAGGCUUAAAUAAAUUUAAGGGACGAUAAGACCCUAUAAAUCUUUAUAUUAAAUUAUUAUCUUGAAUUUUAAUGUUUGUUUAGAUAUUAACAAGUAAAAUAAUAAAUAUUUUGUUGGGGUGACAAGAAUAUAAAAAUAACUGUUCUUAAGAAAAACAAAGUUGUUUGUAUAAAAUUUUAUAGAUCCUUUUUAAAGAUUAAGAGUUUAAGUUACUUUAGGGAUAACAGCGUUAUUUUUUUUUGAGAGUUCUUAUCGAAAAAAAAGUUUGCGACCUCGAUGUUGAAUUAAAAUUUCUUUACGGUGUAGAAGUUGUAAGAGAAAGUCUGUUCGACUUUUGAAAUUUU
RNAcentral lists this ribosomal RNA (454 nucleotides) under Paramunida polita. RNAcentral describes it as "partial 16S ribosomal RNA". It matches the Rfam family "Bacterial large subunit ribosomal RNA", at positions 1946 to 2597 of the family's 2925-position model. The record is from RNAcentral. Lineage: Eukaryota; Metazoa; Arthropoda; Malacostraca; Decapoda; Munididae.